RNAcentral lists this ribosomal RNA (622 nucleotides) under Lactococcus lactis. RNAcentral describes it as "bacterial SSU rRNA". It matches the Rfam family "Bacterial small subunit ribosomal RNA", at positions 76 to 683 of the family's 1533-position model. The record is from RNAcentral. Lineage: Bacteria; Bacillati; Bacillota; Bacilli; Lactobacillales; Streptococcaceae.
GUACUUGUACCGACUGGAUGAGCAGCGAACGGGUGAGUAACGCGUGGGGAAUCUGCCUUUGAGCGGGGGACAACAUUUGGAAACGAAUGCUAAUACCGCAUAAAAACUUUAAACACAAGUUUUAAGUUUGAAAGAUGCAAUUGCAUCACUCAAAGAUGAUCCCGCGUUGUAUUAGCUAGUUGGUGAGGUAAAGGCUCACCAAGGCGAUGAUACAUAGCCGACCUGAGAGGGUGAUCGGCCACAUUGGGACUGAGACACGGCCCAAACUCCUACGGGAGGCAGCAGUAGGGAAUCUUCGGCAAUGGACGAAAGUCUGACCGAGCAACGCCGCGUGAGUGAAGAAGGUUUUCGGAUCGUAAAACUCUGUUGGUAGAGAAGAACGUUGGUGAGAGUGGAAAGCUCAUCAAGUGACGGUAACUACCCAGAAAGGGACGGCUAACUACGUGCCAGCAGCCGCGGUAAUACGUAGGUCCCGAGCGUUGUCCGGAUUUAUUGGGCGUAAAGCGAGCGCAGGUGGUUUAUUAAGUCUGGUGUAAAAGGCAGUGGCUCAACCAUUGUAUGCAUUGGAAACUGGUAGACUUGAGUGCAGGAGAGGAGAGUGGAAUUCCAUGGGUUAGCGGGU